Molecule: ribosomal RNA, 484 nt
Filed under: uncultured Kineococcus sp.
Lineage: Bacteria; Bacillati; Actinomycetota; Actinomycetes; Kineosporiales; Kineosporiaceae
Description: bacterial SSU rRNA
Rfam family: Bacterial small subunit ribosomal RNA
Source: RNAcentral
CGUGAGCAACCUGCCCCUGGCUCUGGGACAACCACUGGAAACGGUGGCUAAUACCGGAUACGACCCGCACAGGCAUCUGUUGUGGGUGGAAAGUUUUUCGGCUGGGGAUGGGCUCGCGGCCUAUCAGCUUGUUGGUGGGGUGAUGGCCUACCAAGGCGACGACGGGUAGCCGGCCUGAGAGGGCGACCGGCCACACUGGGACUGAGACACGGCCCAGACUCCUACGGGAGGCAGCAGUGGGGAAUAUUGCACAAUGGGCGAAAGCCUGAUGCAGCGACGCCGCGUGAGGGAUGACGGCCUUCGGGUUGUAAACCUCUUUCAGCUCCGAAGAAGCGAAAGUGACGGUAGGAGCAGAAGAAGCACCGGCUAACUACGUGCCAGCAGCCGCGGUAAUACGUAGGGUGCAAGCGUUGUCCGGAAUUAUUGGGCGUAAAGAGCUCGUAGGCGGUGUGUCGCGUCUGCUGUGAAAACUCAGGGCUCAACU